Molecule: non-coding RNA, 147 nt
Filed under: Homo sapiens (human)
Lineage: Eukaryota; Metazoa; Chordata; Mammalia; Primates; Hominidae
Source: Rfam by way of RNAcentral
GCCGGGCGUAGUUGCGCGCAUCUGUAAUCCCAGCUACUCGGAGGCUGAGGCAGGAGAAUUGCUUGAACCUGGGAGGCGGAGGGUGCAGUGAGCCGAGAUGGUGCCACUGCACUCCAGCCUGGGUGACAGAGCAAGACUCUGCCUCAC